Molecule: long non-coding RNA, 588 nt
Organism: Talpa occidentalis (Iberian mole)
Lineage: Eukaryota; Metazoa; Chordata; Mammalia; Eulipotyphla; Talpidae
Exons: 3
Source: RefSeq, a predicted model, not a curated record
UUAUCUACUAUGCCCUUUUUAAAAUCAAGGAAACACAUGUUGGGGGGGGGGUAAAGGAGCAUUUAAGUAACAGACAGGACUCAAAAUCAACGCCUGUCACACACCUCAGGCUUCUGCUCUCUUCCGAGUAACAUCAGGACUCCUCUAAGGCGCAUGAUCGUUCUUUAGUGACAUCAGAACAUUCUGGAACUCUCCUCCUCCCUUAGAGGAUACGGGCAGAAGAGGAGAUUCGCGUUUCUCCUCCAGGACACCUGCACAGGAGUGGGGGCCUUCCUGGGGCGGAGGAGAAGCUUCCGUGAGGGAAAACAUGCUACCGUGGUGAGCGGCGUGCUCGCUAAGGAAUCUCUCUCCAGCUACCACAGUGGACACUGACUUUCCCAGCUGUGUUUAAGAUGGGGCAUGGAAACCGGGUAAUGGAAAUCUGGAAAAUUGUCCAUUCUGGAUGGAAACCUUGAUGUGUGCCCCGCGCUCCAGCUCACACGCAUGCUUGCCAUCUUCUUUCAAAAAUAAAGAGGAAAUUAUGAAUAGCGAAAAAAGAUGUAAUUUGCGCAAAUGAAAAAAAGAUCUUCUGAUCCGAUCCUGAGAGAG